CCCUUAGAUGUUCUGGGCUGCACGCGCGCUACACUGUCGGAUUCAGCGAGUCAUAUCCUUAACCGAAAGGUUUGGGUAAUCUUUUGAAAGUCCGACGUGAUGGGGAUUGAUCAUUGCAAUUAUUGAUCAUGAACGAGGAAUUCCUAGUAAGCGCGAGUCAUCAGCUCGCGUUGAUUACGUCCCUGCCCUUUGUACACACCGCCCGUCGCCACUACCGAUUGAAUGGUUUAGUGAGAUCUUCGGAUUGGCGCCUACGCGGCUUCUCUGAGGCCACGCUGGAUGCCGAAAAGUUGCUCAAACUGUAUCAUUUAGAGGAAGUAAAAGUCGUAACA
This 332-nucleotide ribosomal RNA is filed under the name uncultured eukaryote. Its description in RNAcentral is "partial 18S ribosomal RNA". It matches the Rfam family "Eukaryotic small subunit ribosomal RNA", at positions 1470 to 1796 of the family's 1831-position model. The record is from RNAcentral.